CCUACGGGAGGCAGCAGUGGGGAAUAUUGCACAAUGGGGGAAACCCUGAUGCAGCGACGCCGCGUGAAGGAAGAAGUAUUUCGGUAUGUAAACUUCUAUCAGCAGGGAAGAAAAUGACGGUACCUGACUAAGAAGCCCCGGCUAACUACGUGCCAGCAGCCGCGGUAAUACGUAGGGGGCAAGCGUUAACCGGAUUUACUGGAUGUAAGGGGAGCGUAGGCGGUUUAGCAAGUCAGAAGUGAAAGUCCGGGGCGCAACUCCGGGACUGCUUUUGAAACUGUUGAACUAGAUUGCAGGAGAGGUAAGUGGAAUUCCUGGUGUAGCGGUGAAAUGCGUAGAUAUUAGGAGGAACACCAGUGGCGAAGGCGGCUUACUGGACUGUAAAUGACGCUGAGGCUCGAAAGCGUGGGGAGCAAACAGGAUUAGAUACCCCAGUAGUC
This 440-nucleotide ribosomal RNA is filed under the name uncultured bacterium. RNAcentral describes it as "partial 16S ribosomal RNA". It matches the Rfam family "Bacterial small subunit ribosomal RNA", at positions 338 to 795 of the family's 1533-position model. The record is from RNAcentral.